RNAcentral lists this ribosomal RNA (778 nucleotides) under uncultured Neocallimastigales. RNAcentral describes it as "partial large subunit ribosomal RNA". It matches the Rfam family "Eukaryotic large subunit ribosomal RNA", at positions 24 to 641 of the family's 3401-position model. Lineage: Eukaryota; Fungi; Neocallimastigomycota; Neocallimastigomycetes; Neocallimastigales. The record is from RNAcentral.
UUAUGUGAUCGUCUCUCGCAUAUCAAUAAGCGGAGGAAAAGAAACUAACAAGGAUUCCCCUAGUAACGGCGAGUGAAGCGGGAAGAGCUCAAAUUUGAAAUCUUAAAGGGUUUCCCUUUACGAAUUGUAGUUUAAAGAAGUGUUUUCUGUUGAGGUUUUGGUAAAAGUUCUUUGGAAUAGGACAUUAUAGAGGGUGAGAAUCCCGUAUUUGACCUUUACUUUCAACUUUGUGAUACACUUUCAAAGAGUCGGAUUGUUUGGGAAUGCAGUCCAAAAUGGGUGGUAAAUUUCAUCUAAAGCUAAAUAUUGGCGAGAGACCGAUAGCGAACAAGUACCGUGAGGGAAAGAUGAAAAGAACUUUGAAAAGAGAGUUAAACAGUACGUGAAAUUGUCAAAAGGGAAGCGUUUGACACCAGUGUUGUUUUUCUGAAAAUCAAUUAAAGAACUGUUUAUGCUAAGCUUGUUUAGACUUUAUCAGCUAACUGUUUAGUUUUGAGCUUUUCUUUAAUGCACUUUUCAGUUAACAAGUCAACAUCAAUUUCUCUUUGCUGUAAAAAAGCUUGAGGAAGGUGGCUUGAGAUUCGUCUUAAGUGUUUAUAGCCUCUUGCCUAAUGCAGUCGGAGAGAUUAAGGUCUGCAGCGUAGAUCCUUCGGGGCUAAAUGCAUUUGUGCUAAGUUAUAGCAUUUUAUAGACAACUUGUUGACUAUGAUUUGUCUUGUAGCUUACUCGCUUAUGUUAUUUUACCUACGCUUAGGAUGUUGAACGCGCACAGAGUCUC